Molecule: ribosomal RNA, 274 nt
Filed under: uncultured bacterium
Lineage: Bacteria
Description: partial 16S ribosomal RNA
Rfam family: Bacterial small subunit ribosomal RNA
Source: RNAcentral
AUACGAAAGGGGCAAGCGUUGUUCGGAUUUACUGGGCGUAAAGAGAUCGUAGGUGGUUUAUCAAGUCGGAUGUGAAAUCCCGGGGCUCAACCCCGGAACUGCAUUCGAUACUGGUAGACUUGAGUUCGGGAGGGGGAUGCGGAAUUCCGCGUGUAGCAGUGAAAUGCGUAGAUAUGCGGAGGAACACCAGAGGCGAAGGCGGCAUCCUGGACCGAUACUGACACUGAGGAUCGAAAGCGUGGGUAGCAAACAGGAUUAGAAACCCCAGUAGUCC